UUUUUUUUUUUUUUUUUUUUUUAGGGCCAUACCAAUGGCAUAUGGAAGUUCCCAGGCUAGGAGUCAAAUAUGAACUGCAGCUGUGGGCCUAUGCCACAGCCACAACAACACCAGAUCUGAGUUACACCUGUAAUCUAUACCACAGCUCACAGAAACGCCAGAUUCUUAACCCACUGAGUGAGGCCAGGUAUACCUGUGUCCUCAUGGAUGCUAGUCUGAUUCAUUUUCACUGAGCCACAAUAGGAACUCCUCAAAUGCUUUUUCUGCAUCUGUUGAGAUGAUUAUGUGAUUUUCAAUUCUUUUGCAAAAAUAAACACAUGGGACCUAAUCAAACUUACAAGCUUUUGUGAAAUGAAGGAAAUCAUAAAAAAACUGCAUCUACUGAGAUAAUCAUAUUGUUUUUAUUUUUCAGUUUCUUGAAGUGGUGUAUCACACUGAUUGAUUUUCAGAUAUUGAAGAAUCCUUGCAUCCCUGGGAUAAAUCCCACUUGAUCAUAGUGUAUGAUCCUUUUAAUAUAUAGUUGGAUUUAUUUUGCUAAAAUUUUGUUGAGGAUUUUUCCGUCUAUGUUCAUCAGUGAUAUUGUCCUGUAAUUUCCUCUUUUCGUGGUAUUUUUGUCUGGUUUUGGAGGGUGAUGGUGGCCUCAUAGAAUGAGCUUGGGAAUGUUCCUUCCUCUGAAAUUUUUGGAAGAGUUUCAGAAGAAUAGGUGUUAACUUUUCUCUGACUGUUUGAUAGAAUUCCUCUGUGUAGCCAUCAGGUCCUGUACUUUUGUUUUUUGGAAGUUUUUAAAUCAAAUUUUAAAUUUCAGUAUUUGUGAUCAGUCUAUUAGUAUCUUCCAUUUCUUUCUGGUUCAUUCUACAUCAUACAGAAAAAUAAAUUCAAAAUGGAGUAAAGACCUAAAUGUAAGGCCAGAUACUAUAAAACUUCUAGAACAAAACAUAGGCAGAAUGUUCUUUGAAGUAAAUCAUAGCAACAUCUUGUUUGAUUCACUCCUAGAAUAAUGAACAUAAAGACUAGUGUCUAUCUUUAAAGCGUCCUUGGAAGGGAAACAGUAUGAGAAAAUACAAAUCAACUUAGCUAGCUACUGUUAAAAGUUUCUAAAGUCAAGGACAAAACUCACAGCUGGGUUUCUUUUAAUCAAGAAUAAUAUAUGUCAACUUCUAUGAACUUCAUUAAAAUCCUAACUCUAAAGUUUACUGUAUAACUAGUUAGUAGAUAAACACUAUGUUUUUAAUUAAGUUGGAUUUAAAUAGGGGAAAGUCCUUUAGGAUGAAAUUCUUGUUAUAUUAUUAUUGUAAUUUUGUUAAGUCACAAAUCACCACAGGAAAAUAAGAAUGGGAAAUAGGAAUAAUACGCAAAUAAUCAGGACAGACUGAGGAAAACUGAAUAACAAAUAAAACAACAGGAAAGACUAGGUCACCUGAGAAACAAUCCAUGUUCUCCGGCGCAAUCAUGGAAAUUGUUUUCCCAGGAAAGUCCCAAUUCUUUUUCAUUAAUAUCAAAAUGAGAGCUGUGGAACCUGAGGCCUGCCCUUGGCUUGUACCAUUCAGGCAGGCUUUUAUCCUGUCCAGAGGCCCACCUUCGGCAUGUACCAUUCAGGUGAGCUCCCUUCCUUGGUUAGGAACCUGCCUUCAGGUUUUUCUGCCAUCAGGCAAGGUGCUUUUUUUGAGUCCUUGCAUUGCCUGGGCUCCCCGCAAAUAAUAAUAUCUGCCUUACAGUUUUUUGUAAGGAUUAAACUAGUUAAUACAUAUAAAGUUCUUAUAAUAUGCUGAGACCAGCUCAGCAGAUUGGGGUUGAAGAACGGGUGCUGUGAAACUUAAGGAAAAAAGUUAAAAUAAGACAUAGAAACAUUUAUCUUAAUUAAAGGUGGGAACCAGGGGACUCAAGGUCUUAGGGACCAAGAGCACCGCCUCAAGAAACCACACUGCUUUUAUUGUGCUCUCUAGGAUGACGUCAAGUGAGGAGGGGCCUAUAGGUGCAGGAUAUAAUUUUUUUUUAUUAUUUUAAAAGUUCUUUUAUUAUUUUGAAAGUCACAUAGCUGGUAGAUGGUUAAGCUUUUACUCUGAUCUUUAGGCAUUUAACAAUCAUUAGCAUUUGAGGAAGCUUGGCAUUAACUAUCUAUGCAUAACAUCUAGAGAAUCAUCACUGUGCUUCCACAAACUGCAUGCCUAUCUGCAGCAUCCAUCGUGCCUAGGUUUGCGCCUUGGUUCUCUUUACUAAUGCAUAUUCUGCUAAUGACCACUCAUAAACCAUUUGUGGCCAUGAGGUUCCUCUUUCUCUUAUUCUUAAGAAGACAUAUCAUGCUGUGCAAACAGUACGCCAAUCUGCACAGGUCUGGUGUGCCUAGACCAACGCAUUAUGUCCUCAUUCAGCUGACCCUAUGAAUAACUUGUGCUGUUAGGUCUUUGUGCUCAAGCUUAAGUCAUUUACCAGCACUGCGACUGUUUUUCAAGCAGGAAUAUGGGGUAAAGUAAAGCAGGACGAGAUGAAGUUUUCAGCAGAGGCUAAGAAAAUAUUGUAGAACAUGUCUCACAACAAUAACAGGACUUAAAAUUUUUUUUGGUAAGUCACCUCACAUCUGCCUGGUCCUUCCCUUAUCCUGACUACACUAGUGCUAAAAACACAAGCAAUUUGAUAUAUGCAGAGUGCUUUCAUCUACUGAAGAAGCCUCUUGACUUGUGUUCCUACUUUCAGUCAGGGUCUCAUGCAAUAGUCUGUGCAUUACCCAGGGCUAGACUUCUAGAAGAGCCUCUUUGAUUAUUUUAUUGCUCAGCAGCUUUUUGUGGCUCAUCAUUAACAAUGAAAUGAUCUCUGUAUUAUCUAGUCUGGCAUUCAAAACCUUCAAAAAUCUAGAUUCUAAUUGUCUUUCCAGUCUUGUUUCCUAUAAUUCUCCUCCCUACUGCAAAUCCUCUUAUAAAUACCCAUAAGUGAACAUAAGUACUUAUGUUAACUUAUUUAUAUUGACUUCUCCUGAACAUACUCUUUCCUAUUUCUGUGGUUUGGUCUAGAGUUUUUCUUCUACCUGUAGUUCUUUCUACAUUUAUCUACCUCUAUUAAGAUCCUAAUCAUUGAUUAGGGUUCUGUUGGUCUUUUGAAGUUUUCCUUAACAAUUUCAAACGAAAAUGAAUUUUGCUUAUCUUUCUAAACUUUUAUUACUAUAACCAUUGACUUUAAAGAGUUGUUGAAUGCGUAAAACAUGGAUAAAUUAAUGAAAUGAUGGAUGGAAAGACACAUGGGCACACAACCUAAGUGUACCUGUGUUUCUAUCAAUUUAACAAGAACACCUUAAUAUUUUUAUAUUUUGAGAAGUAUUUUAAAAUUCUAGCCACCAUUAAAAAUUGCAUACUUUUGAAAUUCCCAUCAUGGCUCAGCAGUAAUGAACCCGACUAGUAUCCAUGAGGAUAUGGGUUCUAUCCCUGGCCUUGCUCAGUGGGUUAGGGAUCUGGCAUUGCCACAAGGUGCAGUAUAGUUUGCAGACACAGCUUGGAUCCCUCGUUGCUAUGGCUGUGGUGUAGGCUGGCAGCUGCAACUCUGAUUCAUCCCCUAGUCUGAGAACUUCUAUAUGCUGCCUGUGAGACCCUAAAAAGACCAAAGAGGAAUUGCACACUUUUGAGAUAAAUUGUAGUAUGUGGUGAAUGAUGUGAUAAUAUUACCUUUUCCCUCUUUAUCUCUCUUUUCUCUUUAAAUAUACUGGUCAAAAUUGAUUUAGAAUUAUUAUAUCUGCUUUAUUAUAUGCCCUAGUGCAUGAGCUGAAAUCGAGAAUUUACUUAAAAGAUUGUCUUCAUUAAAAUACUGAAUUGAAUAUGUUGUUGGACUUUCUAAUAUUUGUGAAAUUGUAUGAGUAGUUAGAUAAAUGGAUGCAUAUAUAGCAACAUUAUAAUUUUCUUUUCUGACAGGGACAUUGGGAAGGUUAAUUAGUGCUUGUACAGGUUUUUGUCUCCCUUGAUGAAAAGACACUAUGCAAAUACAGAGUGCAGAAUAAAGAUUUCUAUUAAAACCAGAGGGUUAUAUUUUCAGUGGCUAUUGAUGGAUUAAGAAAGUUGUUCCAGAAGGGAGAUAAUCUAAAACACUACUUCUAACCCUGACACAUGGUUUCAGAAUGAACUCUUAACCCAAGAUCUUAUGAUGAACAUGUUUUCAUUUAUAUAAGACCAUUAUCUGGUAGGUAGAAUUAUGGAUUUAAGACUCUAAUGGCCAGACAGAAAGUAUGGGGGAAAAUAUCUCCAUUUAAUUAGUUACUCAAAAAAGUGAUCAGUUAGGUACUUCCUAUCCCACUGAUACCAGGUGCAUUGCUAAACUCUUCAGUUAAAGUAUCUGAGAUAAACAGAUCCUACCCUUAAUUUACAUAAUCUGUAUAAUCUGUCUGGC
RNAcentral lists this long non-coding RNA (4365 nucleotides) under Sus scrofa (pig). RNAcentral's name for it is "lncRNA (ENSSSCG00055000520.1)". Lineage: Eukaryota; Metazoa; Chordata; Mammalia; Artiodactyla; Suidae. The record is from RNAcentral.